AGAGUUUGAUCCUGGCUCAGAGUGAACGCUGGCGGCGUGCCUAAUACAUGCAAGUCGAACGAUGAAGCUUCUAGCUUGCUAGAGUGCUGAUUAGUGGCGCACGGGUGAGUAACGCAUAGGUUAUGUGCCUCUUAGUUUGGGAUAGCCAUUGGAAACGAUGAUUAAUACCAGAUACUCCCUACGGGGGAAAGAUUUAUCGCUAAGAGAUCAGCCUAUGUCCUAUCAGCUUGUUGGUAAGGUAAUGGCUUACCAAGGCUAUGACGGGUAUCCGGCCUGAGAGGGUGAACGGACACACUGGAACUGAGACACGGUCCAGACUCCUACGGGAGGCAGCAGUAGGGAAUAUUGCUCAAUGGGGGAAACCCUGAAGCAGCAACGCCGCGUGGAGGAUGAAGGUUUUAGGAUUGUAAACUCCUUUUGUUAGAGAAGAUAAUGACGGUAUCUAACGAAUAAGCACCGGCUAACUCCGUGCCAGCAGCCGCGGUAAUACGGAGGGUGCAAGCGUUACUCGGAAUCACUGGGCGUAAAGAGCGCGUAGGCGGGAUAGUCAGUCAGGUGUGAAAUCCUAUGGCUUAACCAUAGAACUGCAUUUGAAACUACUAUUCUAGAGUGUGGGAGAGGUAGGUGGAAUUCUUGGUGUAGGGGUAAAAUCCGUAGAGAUCAAGAGGAAUACUCAUUGCGAAGGCGACCUGCUAGAACAUUACUGACGCUGAUUGCGCGAAAGCGUGGGGAGCAAACAGGAUUAGAUACCCUGGUAGUCCACGCCCUAAACGAUGGAUGCUAGUUGUUGGAGGGCUUAGUCUCUCCAGUAAUGCAGCUAACGCAUUAAGCAUCCCGCCUGGGGAGUACGGUCGCAAGAUUAAAACUCAAAGGAAUAGACGGGGACCCGCACAAGCGGUGGAGCAUGUGGUUUAAUUCGAAGAUACACGAAGAACCUUACCUAGGCUUGACAUUGAGAGAAUCCGCUAGAAAUAGUGGAGUGUCUAGCUUGCUAGACCUUGAAAACAGGUGCUGCACGGCUGUCGUCAGCUCGUGUCGUGAGAUGUUGGGUUAAGUCCCGCAACGAGCGCAACCCCCUUUCUUAGUUGCUAACAGGUUAUGCUGAGAACUCUAAGGAUACUGCCUCCGUAAGGAGGAGGAAGGUGGGGACGACGUCAAGUCAUCAUGGCCCUUACGCCUAGGGCUACACACGUGCUACAAUGGGGUGCACAAAGAGAAGCAAUACUGCGAAGUGGAGCCAAUCUUCAAAACACCUCUCAGUUCGGAUUGUAGGCUGCAACUCGCCUGCAUGAAGCUGGAAUCGCUAGUAAUCGCAAAUCAGCCAUGUUGCGGUGAAUACGUUCCCGGGUCUUGUACUCACCGCCCGUCACACCAUGGGAGUUGUGUUUGCCUUAAGUCAGGAUGCUAAAUUGGCUACUGCCCACGGCACACACAGCGACUGGGGUGAAGUCGUAACAAGGUAACCGUAGGUGAACCUGCGGUUG
This 1484-nucleotide ribosomal RNA is filed under the name Helicobacter pylori. RNAcentral's name for it is "bacterial SSU rRNA". It matches the Rfam family "Bacterial small subunit ribosomal RNA". Lineage: Bacteria; Pseudomonadati; Campylobacterota; Epsilonproteobacteria; Campylobacterales; Helicobacteraceae. The record is from RNAcentral.